This 429-nucleotide ribosomal RNA is filed under the name Bacillota bacterium. Its description in RNAcentral is "Firmicutes bacterium partial 16S ribosomal RNA". It matches the Rfam family "Bacterial small subunit ribosomal RNA", at positions 355 to 776 of the family's 1533-position model. The record is from RNAcentral. Lineage: Bacteria; Bacillati; Bacillota.
UAGGGAAUCUUCGGCAAUGGACGGAAGUCUGACCGAGCAACGCCGCGUGAGUGAAGAAGGUUUUCGGAUCGUAAAGCUCUGUUGUUAGAGAAGAACGUUGGUAGGAGUGGAAAAUCUACCAAGUGACGGUAACUAACCAGAAAGGGACGGCUAACUACGUGCCAGCAGCCGCGGUAAUACGUAGGUCCCGAGCGUUGUCCGGAUUUAUUGGGCGUAAAGCGAGCGCAGGCGGUUCUUUAAGUCUGAAGUUAAAGGCAGUGGCUUAACCAUUGUACGCUUUGGAAACUGGAGGACUUGAGUGCAGAAGGGGGGAGUGGAAUUCCAUGUGUAGCGGUAAAAUGCGUAGAUAUAUGGAGGAACACCGGUGGCGAAAGCGGCUCUCUGGUCUGUAACUGACGCUGAGGCUCGAAAGCGUGGGGAGCAAACAGG